RNAcentral lists this microRNA (21 nucleotides) under Ornithorhynchus anatinus (platypus). Its description in RNAcentral is "oan-miR-1390-5p". Lineage: Eukaryota; Metazoa; Chordata; Mammalia; Monotremata; Ornithorhynchidae. The record is from miRBase by way of RNAcentral.
UAUACAGAUUCGAGUAUGCAU